This 905-nucleotide long non-coding RNA is filed under the name Daphnia pulicaria. RNAcentral describes it as "uncharacterized LOC124343441, transcript variant X1". Lineage: Eukaryota; Metazoa; Arthropoda; Branchiopoda; Diplostraca; Daphniidae. The record is from RNAcentral.
UUUAUUUUAAUUUGACUUUUGCCUCUUGUACGCCAACUAUCUGUCUUUAUUUUGUUUCGUGGCAAUAGUCAACGGUUUGUUUAUUGCAACGAAAUGUCUUGGCAAUAGCCGUUUCAGACGAGUUCUUCACGAAAACAGAGGACUAGUAAGCUUUUAUGGCAAUAGACAAAGUGAUAUUAAUAGACACGAAACGAUAUUUUCAGAUUUCGUGGCAUUAGUGAGUCAAGUCUGUCGCGUCACGAAAAGGCUUUCGUGGCAAUAGAUUUAACCAAUCCGAAACCCAAAUAUUUGUACUUUGGUCAAGAAAAAAAAGAGAAAUUUUGACAUUGGUCUUCACUUGCCCACGAUAUUCCAGUAAUGCAGUACUCUUAACCGAAAAAGAAUCAUCAUAAUAUCACACGUGUAGUAUUCUAGUAGAUAAUCUAUUGAAUGCCAUACACUUUAGAUUCGACCAAAUGUUCUCGGAUAACGAACUUCGGCUAGCAACAAUAACCAAUCCCAUUUUUAAGCUCUCAUGGCUAGAAAAAGAAGAAGAUAUGGAACGUGCAAUAAAGAGUUUGCUAACUUGUUAAUUUAAGCGUCUUCAGGGCAUCCAGCAACAGCUUUCUUCCUCAGGUGAAAUCAGUGAUGGUAGUUCAUCGUCUUUUUCUGGCCCAAGUCCAGAAAAACAACGAAAAAGAAUUAUUUUGUUUCUAUCUCGAAGAAAACAACCAAGAAAAGAUCUGAUGAAGAGAUUGAAAACUACCUCAAUUUUUGUGACAGCUUAGAUUAAUUAGAAGACUAUCCAAUUAUCCAACAAAUGUAAAUGUAAACGAUACAAUGUUACACUCCCAUCAUCGGUAUCAGUUGAAAGACUUUUCAGCCAAGGAGGUCUGAUUUUCUCUCCAAGACGUUUGAAUUUGACU